This 468-nucleotide ribosomal RNA is filed under the name uncultured bacterium. RNAcentral's name for it is "partial 16S ribosomal RNA". It matches the Rfam family "Bacterial small subunit ribosomal RNA", at positions 28 to 507 of the family's 1533-position model. The record is from RNAcentral.
GAUGAACGCUGGCGGCGUGCUUAACACAUGCAAGUCGAACGGAAAGGCCCUGCUUUUGUGGGGUGCUCGAGUGGCGAACGGGUGAGUAACACGUGAGUAACCUGCCCUUGACUUUGGGAUAACUUCAGGAAACUGGGGCUAAUACCGGAUAGGAGCUCCUGCUGCAUGGUGGGGGUUGGAAAGUUUCGGCGGGUGGGGAUGGACUCGCGGCUUAUCAGCUUGGUGGUGGGGUAGUGGCUUACCAAGGCUUUGACCGGUAGCCGGCCUGAGAAGGUGACCGGCCACAAUGGGACUGAGAUACGGCCCAGACGCCUACGGGAGACAGCAGUGGGAAAUAUUGCACAAUGGGCGGAAGCCUGAUGCAGCAACGCCGCGUGCGGGAUGACGGCCUUCGGGUUGUAAACCGCUUUCGCCUAAGACGAAGCGUGAGUGACGGUAAUGGGUAAAGAAGCACCGGCUAACUACGUG